Molecule: long non-coding RNA, 244 nt
Filed under: Capsella rubella
Lineage: Eukaryota; Viridiplantae; Streptophyta; Magnoliopsida; Brassicales; Brassicaceae
Description: long non-coding RNA (CRUB_LNC000673)
Source: RNAcentral
GCUUGGGUCACGUGAUCAUGGUAAGUGUCAAGUAAAACAUAAGAUGUCCCCACAUGCUAUAUUUAGUUUUGUUAAUAUUAAGAUAAAAAUAGUUCUUAAAAACCAUAUUAAAAAAGAAAAUAAAUAAAAUAACUAUAUUCAAAAAUUUUAAUUAAAAAAAUAAAUUAUUAACCUGAUUUGGGUUAUGUCGGUUGGGAUUUAUCAAUGCUAUUAGUAUUUACUAUUUAGCAAGACUAUAUAUUAG